GAAUCUUGUUGCAAGUUCAGCCCAGCAAUUCCAGUCCACGAGCCAACAAUUCGGUCCAUUCAAUUGCAACUCAGCCCGUUGGAUUUCAGCCCAAGUUUCAAGCCCAUCUUGGGCCCGCAAAGCAGGCCCAGCCGCAACCAAGCCCAAGUCCGAAGCCAAGCCCAGCAUUUGCUGUGGGCUUGCAAGGCCUUUGGGCCUGGCCCGAGUAUUUGCCGACAUUGUUGAAAAUUCGGAUUUCGGCCGUUGUCGCGCCGUUGUCACGGUGAACCAGUUUCCGCAAUUAACUGGGUUGUCGAGUGGAGGACCGGGAGCCGAGAGGAGGUGAUGUGAAGUGUACGUCAGCUAGGACCGUCUCUUUUUGGAAAGUUAGUUUUUGUGGCCUUUUGGUCAUAGACCUUGUACUUGACAUUAUGUGAAUAUAAAAGCAUGCUUGUUUGUGAAUUC
Long non-coding RNA from Eucalyptus grandis, 444 nucleotides. RefSeq lists it as uncharacterized. The record is from RefSeq and is a predicted model, not a curated record. Lineage: Eukaryota; Viridiplantae; Streptophyta; Magnoliopsida; Myrtales; Myrtaceae. The transcript is spliced from 2 exons.